Molecule: non-coding RNA, 3712 nt
Organism: Danio rerio (zebrafish)
Lineage: Eukaryota; Metazoa; Chordata; Actinopteri; Cypriniformes; Danionidae
Source: Ensembl
GUCCCAACGUACGUCCUGUUAUGCAUUUUUAAUUUCUACAGCUGCGAAAAUCUGAAAACAGCCACAUAUUGAUCAAUAAUGUUGUGAAAGUUAGUUUGAAAUUAAGUUAUGAUUGAAUUACCUCUUGUUAGUGAUGAAAUAGUUUGAUAACAAGCAGGAAAUGUUCAUGGGUCAAUGACAUCACCACAUUGAAAUGGUCUAUAUUGAUUAUAAUAGUUGUUUUUUACAGUAAAAGCAGAUAUAAUUUGAGCUGAUAGUAUAAAACACUUCAUAAUUAGUUUACCUUAAAUCAAAAGACAGUUUUAAGUGAACUAUGUGUUAAUUAGAAGAAAUAUAGGAUUUUAAUCUUUGCAGAUCUGCCCCUCCUCCUUCAGUGAUGCCCCUCCCCCUUAAAUGAAGCUCCUCCCUCUUCAGUUCAGCUAUAAAUACUGGAGUAUUCCCAUCAGUCUACAAGUGAAGACGAGCAUCAGAGCAUCAGGAAGAGGUGAUAUUUGAAGGACAGAGAGAAGAUGAGUGAUCCAGAACCCUGCAGAACUGAAGAGGAAGAGGCUGAAGAGCAAACAGACUUUACUGAAGAGAAUGAGGCGAAUGAUGAUGACGGACUUGUAAAAGGCGAGAAAAUCCCUCAUUUAUUGACUGAAGAUGCUUUUGUAAUGAAAAGGGAGAAGAAAUGCUUCACCUGCACUCAGUGUGGAAUAAGUUUUGGAUACAAAAAAACUCUCCAGCUUCACAUGAGGAUUCACACUGGAGAGAAACCGUACACAUGCGCUCAGUGUGGGAAGAGUUUCAGACAUUUAUCAAGCUUUAAUCGACACAAGCUGAUCCACACUGGAGAGAAAACACACGCAUGUGAUCAAUGCGGCAAGACAUUUUUGAGGGCUUCACAGCUGGAGAUCCAUCUGAGAGUUCACACUAAAGAGAAACCGUAUUCAUGCUCUGAGUGUGGGAAGAGUUUUAGACACCAGUCAAGUUUAAAAGACCAUCAGAAGAUCCACACUGGAGUGAAAGAGCACAUGUGCUUUGAGUGUCAGAAGACUUUUGUUACAGAUGGGGUGUUAAAACAACACCAGAGGAUUCACACUGGAGAGAAACCAUACGUGUGUUCACACUGCGACAAGAGAUUCAGACAGUUAUCAAACCUGAAAGCACAUGAGAGGAGUCACACUGGAGAGAAACCGUACAAGUGUGAUCAGUGUCUGAAGAGUUACACACGGUGGUCGCAUCUUAAGACACACAUGAAAAUCCACACCGGAUAAAAGCAGCACACGUGACAUCAACAUAAGCAAAGCAUUCUCUCAUGUGUUGCGGGUGUGACCAUCAGAAAAUACUGGAGAUUAGGUGUGGAAAGUAAAUCCAUCCGUCUCCAGUUGUUGCUUGUUCAUCUCUUUCCAUGAUUACUACGUUUACCUAAUAGGCAUUUCAUACACAGUGGCAAUUCAAAGUGCUUUACAUAAACAGGAAUAAAAGAAGCAAGAAUAAAAACAAAUAAUAAAAAUGAUUAGAUAAAAUGUGUUAAAAAAGAAUGAAGAGAAAGACAUAAUAGUGCGAUCUGCUGGACGCAGCACAGUGCUCAUUCAGUAAAGGCACAGCUAAACAGAUGUGUUUCAGUCUUGAUGUGAAUGUGCCUAAUGUUGGAGCACAUCUGAUCAUUUCUGGAAGCUGAUUCCAGCAGCCGGGGGCGCUGUUAGUAGCUAAAAGCUGAUUCCCCUUGCUUUGACUGAACUUAUGGAACUUCUAGUUUAUAUGAUCCUAGAGAUCUGAGUGAUCUGUUGGGUUUGUAUUCAGUGAGCAUAUCUGUGAUGUAUUGUGCUCUAGGCCAUAUAGUGAUUUAUAGAGCAGUAAUAAUACUUUAAACUCUAUUCUGGAUGUAACUGGGAGCCAGAGUAGAGACCUGAGGACAGGUGUGAUGUGCUCUGACUUCCUGGUUCUGGUCAGAAUCCUGGCCGCAGCGUUCUGGAUGAGCUGCAACUGUCUGACUGUGUUUUUGGGAAGACCAGUGUGGAGUCCAUUACAGUAAUCCACCCUGCUGCUGAUAAAAGCAUCAACAAGUUUCUCUAAGUCUUCACUAGAAACAAAGCAUCUGAUUCCUGCAAUGUUUCUGAGAUAAUAGUAUGCUGAUUUACUGACUGCUUUGACAUGACUGUUGAAGCUCAUGAAGGUCAGAAUGUAAAUGUACAUAUAACUUAUUUCAGCAGACUUGCAUUAAAAUGUUCAAAAUUAAAACUCUUCUCCAGUGUUUACAUUAAUUAAAUUUGUUGCCAAAAGGAAUCCACACAUCUCUGGAUCACCUGUCAUGUGUUCAGGUUGGCCUAGGUUAAAUACAAGCAGAUAUUAACAUUAAUUGAAAUACUUCCCUGCUGAAAAAUCCAACUUAAACCAGCCUAGGCUGGUUUAAGCUGGAUUUUUCAGCAGGGUUAAGUCAGUCACUGCAUUCAAAUAUAUAAUUUAAUAUUUGCCGCCAUCAAUUGGGCAGCUAAAUUGUAUGAGUGUGUGUGUGUGUGUGUGUUGAUGUUUCCCAGAGAUGGGUUGCGGCUGGAAGGGUAUCCGCUGAGUAAAAACGUGCUGGAUAAGUUGGCGGUUCAUUCCGCUGUGGCGACCACAGAUUAAUAAAGAGACUAAGCCUAAAAGAAAAUGAAUGAAUUCUGUAGCUAUAUCAGACUUUAGCUCGGUUGUUUGGCACUGUUUUUAUUAAUUAAAAUAUGACUUUCGCCAUCUUGUGUCUUUCCCCAGGAGACUGGAUUAUUUUCGCGCCAGUUAAGUGUGUACAGUAAAGCAUCAGGUAGGGGACAUUAUUUACCCCUCUUCAGCUUUCUUAUUGUUUUAGAUUUACUUCAUAAACAGAUUGUAACACUGAAAUACAUAUUUCAUGAUGUAUUUGGUCAAAAUAGUGAGGAUUAGGCCGUAUGAAAACCUUUAAAAACAUACAUCUACCCCACACGGUACCGACUCGUCUAUGUUUUGGUCCUGCAUAUGUUCUGCCGUCAUGACGACCGUCUCCCGCUUGUGACGGAAAAACAGCAUUCGCUGAGUAACACAGGCAGCCAAUCAGCACUCGUUGCGCAACAAAGGCAGCCAAUCAGCGUUCGCUGAGCAACACAGGCAGCCAAUCGGCGUUCGCUGAGCAACGUGCAGGCAAAAUAUCCCGCCCUCGGCGCUUAUUAUGAGGUGGAGAGAGAAUUAAUCGGAGCGUGUGUGUAAUUCCACUAAUGUUACUGGUGUUUUGUGUUCAUUUAAAGUAAGUGUUUUAUUUGUGUCAUCUGUAACGUUUGUGAGUGUGAUAUGCUUAGCUUUGCUGCCGUUUCUUGCGGUUUAAUCUGCUUCGAGUCAUGUAGACAAUGCUAAUAUACUUAGCAUCCGGUUAAUAUCUUAUAUUCAUUCACAGUUGCUUAUACUAAUGUGAUUUAUGUACAUUUUAUUAAAGGACCGUGAGUAAAUGAGGCAUCCAGAAAAAUCCUGCAAAGCUGGAGAGACUGAAGAAUGAAAAGGUUGGUGUUUAUUCCUGAUUGUUCAAUAAUGAGGCUGAAGAACAUUAAUAACAAAGAAGUUUUUUUUCAUUUUGUGCGCUAAAGGAAUUAAAAUUCCACAGAAAAACAAAUAGCCUGGUUCAGUUUUCAAUUAUUUCCAUGUAUGAAACAUUUAUUAUCAUAAGAUUAAAUGUCAUUUGCUGUGAUUUAUUUUAGAACUGAUCUUUUUUUUAAUCUAUUUGCUACUA